This 441-nucleotide ribosomal RNA is filed under the name uncultured marine bacterium. RNAcentral describes it as "bacterial SSU rRNA". It matches the Rfam family "Bacterial small subunit ribosomal RNA", at positions 360 to 804 of the family's 1533-position model. The record is from RNAcentral.
AAUACUGCGCAAGUAUGAAAGCGCCAAUCAGCCACCCCGCGUGAGCGCGACGUCUUCUUAUCGUAAAGCUUUGUGGGGGAAUUAGAAAAAGGACCCGUAGAGCCGUGCAUGUAUGUAUACAUGUACCAAGCACCUCCUAACUCGCUCCAGCAGCCGUGGUAAUACGGCGGGUGCAAUCGUGGCUCAGAAUCAUUGAAGGUAAAGCCGCGUAGGCGGCUUGUCAAUUCGGAUGUGAAAGCCCUGGGCUCAACCCGGGAAGUGCAUCCAAAAGUGGUAGGCUUGAAUCUGAGAGAGGGUGAAAGAAUUCCCGGUGUAGAGGUGAAAUUGGUAGAUAUCAGGAGGAAUACCACCGCGAAGGCGCUGGCCUGGAUGAAGAUUGACGAUGAGGGGCGAAAGCGUGGGUACCAACCAAGAUUAGAUACCCUGGUAGUCCACCCUGUA